GGGGCCUUCGGGUCACUGGCGCACGGGUGAGUAACGCGUAGGUAAUCUGCCCAUAUCCGGGACAUAACAUCGAGAAAUCGUUGCUAAUAUCCCAUGAGGCCGCAAGGUCAAAGCUUCGGCGGAUAUGGAUGAGCCUGCGUCUGAUUAGCUAGUUGGUGGGGUAAUGGCCUACCAAGGCGACGAUCAGUAGCUGGUCUGAGAGGACGAUCAGCCACACUGGAACUGAGACACGGUCCAGACUCCUACGGGAGGCAGCAGUGAGGAAUUUUGGUCAAUGGGGGAAACCCUGAACCAGCGACGCCGCGUGCGGGAUGAAGGAGCUUUGCUCUGUAAACCGCUGUCGGAAGGGAAGAAAAGCCGGGUCGCCCGGCUGGGACAGUACCUUCAAAGGAAGGAUCGGCUAACUACGUGCCAGCAGCCGCGGUAAUACGUAGGAUCCAAGCGUUGUCCGGAUUUACUGGGUGUAAAGGGUGCGCAGGCGGAUUUGUGCGUCAGAGGUUAAAGACUUCGGCUUAACCGAAGAAAUGCCUUUGAUACGGCAAGUCUUGAGUACGAGAGAGGAUGAUAGAAUUCUUGGUGUAGCGGUGAAAUGCGUAGAUAUCAAGAGGAAUACCAGUGGCGAAGGCGGUCAUCUGGCUCGUAACUGACGCUCAGGCACGAAAGCGUGGGGAGCAAACAGGAUUAGAUACCCUGGUAGUCCACGCCCUAAACGAUGUAUGCUUGGUGUUGGCCUAGUAAUAGGUCAGUGCCGGAGGAA
Molecule: ribosomal RNA, 757 nt
Filed under: uncultured Chlorobium sp.
Lineage: Bacteria; Pseudomonadati; Chlorobiota; Chlorobiia; Chlorobiales; Chlorobiaceae
Description: bacterial SSU rRNA
Rfam family: Bacterial small subunit ribosomal RNA
Source: RNAcentral